RNAcentral lists this long non-coding RNA (1304 nucleotides) under Theobroma cacao (cacao). Its description in RNAcentral is "long non-coding RNA (TCAC_LNC000167)". The record is from RNAcentral. Lineage: Eukaryota; Viridiplantae; Streptophyta; Magnoliopsida; Malvales; Malvaceae.
GAGUCCCAGUUUCACGUGGUGGCCAGCGUGAAGUGUACUCAAAUCCUACCUCGAGAGUUAUCCUACGCGCCUCUCCAAUCGAGGUAAGCUCAAUAAUUGGGAACCAUGCCCCUCUAAUUAGGGUGGCCCACAGAACCCCCGUCACUGCAGUGCCCACUUUAUAAUCCACCAAUCAAUAAAAUCACAAUAGUAUGACAUGGCUCACUUAACACAUUCAAGGCAAAUCAAAGCAGUUCACAUAUUCUUAAAAUCAUAAAAAUAACAAGUCAUACCCACAUUUAUCAUAAGCCAUUUAAUGUAAAAUCAUGGAUAAACAACACAAUCAUAGUAUAGGUCUCCAAUUACUCUAUUUUUGAAAUCAUUAUUAAAUUUUCAAAAAUUUUAUAAAAUUAUUUUAUAAAAUCUCAUUUUCCCAUAAAAUACAAUAAUUUUCCAACUAAACUAUUUUUCCAUAAAAUCACAUAAUUAAAUAAAUCUACUCUAGAUAAUUAAGACGAUAGUAAGUUUACUCACUGUACUAGGAGUAAAUAUACUCUUAUUCUCGAUCCUUGGGUGUAGUCUUUUACCCGUAUCAGAUAGCUCACCACCUAUCCACAAUACAUGACACAAAAAAUUCAAGAAUUUGUGUCAAAUCAAUAUAUUAUUUCAGGUUUUUAUCCAUGCGUAUGCACUAGAUAGGGUGUGAAAUGUUUGGACAAUCGCUUAAUCACAGUAUCCGACCUAACUCGCCUAUACACGGUGUAAAUUUCUAAAAUCUCCAAUUCAACUCCAAUUCCAUCUAUUUUAAUUUCAAUUAUCCAAUUAUAUUCACAAUACCUCAAUGACUGUGAAUGUGGUCCAAUUUAUCAGUUCGGAUCACAAAUUACGUUUUUACCCCUAGUGGGUAAAAAUUUUAAUUUUUUUGCACCAAAAAUUUCCAUUUAAUUUUCAACCUCAAAAUUCAUCAUUUUUCCAUCUAAUUCUUUUAAAAUAAAGUCAAUCUCAUCCUCACACACCAUUGGCUAGAUUCAGCCUAGAGAAAUUCAUGGAGAAAAUGAAUAUUUUUCUUGUUGUUUUACUCAUAAACAUGCUAAACUAACACUAAACACUAACAAAGUUCAAAAUUAAAUUAAUCUAACAACUUUCUCUCUCUAAACCCAUAUGAUCAGAUUUGAAUCCAUCAUCAAAACACAUAAUUUAACUAUGAAAAAUAAGGAAAAAUGCAUGGAAAUGAUAAAUCUUAAGCUAAGCUUGAAAAAUCAUACCUUUAAACACUUGAUUUCUUCAAAAAUCACACUUGUUCUUUGAAUUUUCUCACUCUAGGG